AUUGAACGCUGGCGGCAGGCCUAACACAUGCAAGUCGAGCGGAUGAAGGGAGCUUGCUCCUGGAUUCAGCGGCGGAUGGGUGAGUAAUGCCUAGGAAUCUGCCUGGUAGUGGGGGAUAACGUCCGGAAACGGGCGCUAAUACCGCAUACGUCCUGAGGGAGAAAGUGGGGGAUCUUCGGACCUCACGCUAUCAGAUGAGCCUAGGUCGGAUUAGCUAGUUGGUGGGGUAAAGGCCUACCAAGGCGACGAUCCGUAACUGGUCUGAGAGGAUGAUCAGUCACACUGGAACUGAGACACGGUCCAGACUCCUACGGGAGGCAGCAGUGGGGAAUAUUGGACAAUGGGCGAAAGCCUGAUCCAGCCAUGCCGCGUGUGUGAAGAAGGUCUUCGGAUUGUAAAGCACUUUAAGUUGGGAGGAAGGGCAGUAAGUUAAUCCCUUGCUGUUUUGACGUUACCAACAGAAUAAGCACCGGCUAACUUCGUG
RNAcentral lists this ribosomal RNA (484 nucleotides) under uncultured bacterium. RNAcentral's name for it is "partial 16S ribosomal RNA". It matches the Rfam family "Bacterial small subunit ribosomal RNA", at positions 30 to 507 of the family's 1533-position model. The record is from RNAcentral.